GGGCUAAUCCGUCAGCUGUCCAGU
Molecule: non-coding RNA, 24 nt
Filed under: Arabidopsis thaliana (thale cress)
Lineage: Eukaryota; Viridiplantae; Streptophyta; Magnoliopsida; Brassicales; Brassicaceae
Source: RNAcentral